Long non-coding RNA from Cydia pomonella (codling moth), 3446 nucleotides. RefSeq lists it as uncharacterized. NCBI's taxonomy places the organism in Eukaryota, Metazoa, Arthropoda, Insecta, Lepidoptera, Tortricidae. The record is from RefSeq and is a predicted model, not a curated record. The transcript has 3 exons.
UCAAAAUAUUGUGUUUGCUUAAUAAAAACAAUUUAACGAUGGUAUUUCCUACGUCAAGUUAGGUUAGGGCCGCACGAUUACAUAGUAGGUAGAACGUCAUAACACGCAACCAGUGUAAUUCGUCAUUAGGUAAUAUCCGGUUGUUUUCCUAUUCCCAGUGUACGUACUACCAAAGUUUCCUGGAAACUUAGGCCUCGAGGCAAAUCCAAUUUGGCCUGUGCCAAUUACCCCCGACCUUUGAUAUACGGCAGCUCAGCACCCAAAACUUUUUCGCCAUUUAUCCCCCAACUUUCGCAAUUCCCGAGACUUUCAUACAGAAGUUGCGCAAUAAACUUAAAGUGUAACUUCUGAUACAAUACCUGAGAUUAACAAAAAACCGGUCCGACCAGUCACGCGUUUUCAUCUCGGCGAAAUUCACAGUUAGGUACUGAUGUACGGCGAGCGGCAGAGGUUGCGAAGUAAGCGCUGCUGAAAAUAAUUCGCACGCGAAUCGUUAGGUUAUAAGGCUUGAGUAUUGAGCGUGAUAUUUUUGUUGCUUACUGUUCUGGCUAUCAGAAAAAUUACCUUGUUUAUUUCACCUGACGACUGCCUGGAAUAAAUAACAAACAAGGCUAUCUGUACCUAGCUGUGAAGGUGGAAUCUGUAAAUGCGAAGUACUUGUUUUUCGACGGAAUCGCUCCCAGGCCAGCGAUAUAUUAUCAGCACCUACCGACUGUUGGCUAGCGUUCGCUUCAGGGAAAACCAUUAUAAGCUCUCUGCUAUUACGUAUUAUUGACACAGAUCUCUAGGUCGCAGAUAGACUGGAUAACCUGAGUUAAAACCUUGGAAAGACGUAAGAAUAGCGUCAGUAGUCGUAGCGACGCAAGCACUGGGGGGCCGCCUGCGCGCGCCUCAUCGAUCUCCGAAUCAUCCCCCCGCCCUCAUCAUCCCCCCUACGUCUCCCGCUUCAUCCCCGACACGUGUACGCCACAUCACCGGGAUAACUCAUUUUGUAACGACAUGAAUCUGAUUACCUCCAUCAAUUUCAGCUACGGUUUCGUUUAGGAAUUUAACAAAAUGGUGGAGUGACCUAAGUCUAUAAACGGCGACUAGUUUUUGCGCGCAAAUGUUACAUCAGCUCAGCCACGCGAACGGUAACAUGUGACUGCCUCCAUUUUAUAACUAAGAAGUUAUACUUGUUAUUCAACUACAAUAAUAUAAAUAUUAAGGAGCCUUUUUGUAUUGUUAAAGUAAAGUAAGACUGGAUUUAUUUUAGACAAGGAAAGAAAGCACCUAAUGAACUGCAAAACAAAUCUUUUCUUUAUUCAACAAAGUAAUCAAUCUUAUCAGGUACAGGAAAGCAAAACUGAGUCCCAUAAAAUAAAUCCACUGUACAAAGGAAAAAGCAAGGCUCGCAAAGCAAAUCAAGUUAAUCCAUCAGUGACAAAAGGGAAGUCAUAGGAGCGUUUCUCAUUGGGCGAGCGGCAAAAUUCGUAGGGAUCAGGUUUGGGGCGCUCGCGUGCUGACGGAAGGAGAGGGGCGGUGCAGCUGGUGCAUCGGGCCCCCGGCCCCCGCGCCGGCCCAUUGCCAAGUUCAAUGCCAAGGUCAUGCGCGCGCGACUGCGGCUGCGCGCCGCACGGCCGCAAUGCAGGAGCGGCCGGCGUUCGGCGCGACCGGCCGUCAGUGCCUCACGAACCGCGUCGUACGCCGCACUUUUUCCCUAACUCACCUGUUAAAACCCCGAAAACUCUAGUUGGUUAACUCAGUGUGUUUGGAAUUUGACAUGUCGGUUCAGUACGUGCGUUGCCGCGACGCCGCGCCAAGCCACGCUCACCUGUUAUGCAACACUUCCUCAUAUUAAACAUCCGUCUUGAUUAUACAACUGAACUCUGGGGAGUAGAGAGCAACCUGCACUCAUGCAACCUACACUCAAAUAUGAGUUUAAUAGGUCCGUGGUCCGGCCUUCGCUCCUGGCGGAUGGCAGCAUGCUCGGCAGGAAGUCCUAGUUUGUGUCGCCGUUCUACUGCACGCCUUAAUUGAAGACACGAAACUGGGUUAUAUCCGUGAAAAUAAAUUUUGUAAAUUUCAAGCAACUGUCACUCUAAUUAGGGUUUAAUUGGAGUGAAAGAGAAUGAUGCCUAAAAUUUGCGAAUUUCCGUGAUCGCGGUAGGCCCUCUAUGUUAACGGCAUCAAGCAUGAGACAUUUAAGAGAAAAAUUUAUACCGCUUCUUUAUGCUUUAAACCUUGUAUGUCCAAAUCUUCCUCGGUUUUCUAUGUAUUCAAUGAAUGCUACUGCAAUUGGUUUCAAUAUUAUUAACCAAUUAAAACUAUGGUUUUUCGCUCCAGUCAUGGGAUAUAUGGCGUCAUUAAUUUUAUUACUACAAUAUUUGUUAGAAAGAGAAGCCAAUAUAGGGUAUAAGGAAGUAACACACUUUCCGUUUAGGUACCUGUGACCCCAUAUGGGCCCCAUCAUACUGGUAAACUGAACAAUAAAGAACGAUAGGCAUGAAGACAAUAGUUAUUUGGUUUACAACAGGGCAAAGUUGUUGUUUAAUUCCUCUUGCUAAUAUUGAUACGUGAGCAAGGGAAUAAUUCCAAAAUUGGUACCUACACGAGCGUAGCUAACACAGCAUUAUUCACCACACCAUCUCGAGGAAAGUACUAACUGUAAGACAUUACUAAUCAAAUGAAAAUGAAGGCUAUUAAAUAUUUAUCAUUCAAGAUCAUCAUUUAAAAGUCAAGUCUAGUCUAGUCAGUUAAAAUGAAAUAACUCAAAAUUUGCAUCAACUUACGAUGCCACUCAUGUGGAUGAAAUUCAACUUUCCAAUCAGUUUUUGAAGUGUAAAGAGAGCCUUUACGAGCUGGAGUGGUGAAAAAUAGAUUUCACCAGUGGCACUUGGUUAUGUUAGAAAAUGAAUUCGAUCCAUAUACACUGUAAGUUUUAACACUCUACUCAAUGAUAUACACUAGCGCUUGUUAAAAAAAAAGUAAAACGCUUAGAUUCCAAGAUUUCUUUAUUGUUCCAAAAUAACAAAUCAUAAUGUCUAAAGAGGCAUUUAGAAUUCUCAAAUACUCGACUACUUAAAAAACAAAUCAAAAAAUAUUUCAAAAAAUAAUUUGAUUUGUUCCCUAAUUCUCAAAAACUCACCUAAUCAAUAGGACAUCAUUAACUUUCUGUGAAAAAUAUUAUCUCAUUCGGUCGUAGGUAUGGUCGUAGGAUUGCGACAAUUUCAUUGUUUAGUAAGGCUUCUCUAUAGUAAUAAUAACUUAAUGUCUGUAUAAAGCUUUUAUUUCCCAUAAAAAUCCAAUAUUUUUUAAGUCGCCGGAUUACCUGUGCCAACUGGAACUCUAAACACACUGAAACUUGAUUGCAAUGCUGACUUCGACCCAAAAGACGACGGCAACAUUAGCAACAACAGCUCUCCUAUUUUCAAGAUAUGGACUGGACUGAAUGGACUGGCCGCGUU